This is a long non-coding RNA of Saccostrea echinata, 418 nucleotides long. RefSeq lists it as uncharacterized. The transcript is spliced from 2 exons. NCBI's taxonomy places the organism in Eukaryota, Metazoa, Mollusca, Bivalvia, Ostreida, Ostreidae. The record is from RefSeq and is a predicted model, not a curated record.
AUAUCGUCAGGGUAUACAGAGAUUUUUGCAAUGUAUUCCACCAGACGUUGACAUUAUCAAGGGACCACUAUUCCGAGAGUAAAACAAGUUUUUUUUAAAGGGAUGACAAUGAAAUUGAAGAGGCAGGGGCAGGCUACCAUAUAGUUAGAAUAAUAGACCACCACCCUCCAAUAUCUGAUGCUGACUUAAUAAAAAUGUAUGACUACCUUUCAAGCUCUGACUCGGCUCAGGUGUUGCAGCAUUUGUGAUAUCAAUUUUUAAUAUAUUUAUUUGUUAUUCAUGUUGUGAUAGAUUUACAAUUAUUGUUAUUGUUAAUUAUUAAUAUGAUUUCUGUUAUACAUUAUGAGGACUGUUGCUCAAUGAAAGGAAACUCUGGUUGUUAGUUUUGGAAGUAAAAUUCAAUAAAUUCUGAAACAUU